Molecule: non-coding RNA, 26 nt
Filed under: Homo sapiens (human)
Lineage: Eukaryota; Metazoa; Chordata; Mammalia; Primates; Hominidae
Source: RNAcentral
CAGCCUUAGUGGAAGAUGCCCUAGAG